This 468-nucleotide ribosomal RNA is filed under the name uncultured bacterium. RNAcentral describes it as "partial 16S ribosomal RNA". It matches the Rfam family "Bacterial small subunit ribosomal RNA", at positions 28 to 507 of the family's 1533-position model. The record is from RNAcentral.
GACGAACGCUGGCGGCGUGCUUAACACAUGCAAGUCGAACGGAAAGGCCCUGCCUUUGUGGGGUGCUCGAGUGGCGAACGGGUGAGUAACACGUGAGUAACCUGCCCUUGACUUUGGGAUAACUUCAGGAAACUGGGGCUAAUACCGGAUAGGAGCUCCUGCUGCAUGGUGGGGGUUGGAAAGUUUCGGCGGUUGGGGAUGGACUCGCGGCUUAUCAGCUUGUUGGUGGGGUAGGGGCUUACCAAGGGUUUGACGGGUAGCCGGCCUGAGAGGGUGACCGGCCACAUUGGGACUGAGAUACGGCCCAGACUCCUACGGGAGGCAGCAGUGGGGAAUAUUGCACAAUGGGCGGAAGCCUGAUGCAGAAACGCCGCGUGCGGGAUGACGGCCUUCCGGUUGUAAACCGCUUUCGCCUGUGACGAAGCGUGAGUGACGGUAAUGGGUAAAGAAGCACCGGCUAACUACGUG